This is a non-coding RNA of Eptesicus fuscus (big brown bat), 84 nucleotides long. Lineage: Eukaryota; Metazoa; Chordata; Mammalia; Chiroptera; Vespertilionidae. The record is from RefSeq and is marked provisional.
UGUUGGUUCUUCUAGAUCAAGCAUGUCAAACUUGUGGCUGGCGGGCCGCAAGUUUGACAUGCUUGUUCUAGAUUGAUGAUCAUA